This 1194-nucleotide long non-coding RNA is filed under the name Gadus morhua (Atlantic cod). RNAcentral describes it as "lncRNA (ENSGMOG00000031434.1)". Lineage: Eukaryota; Metazoa; Chordata; Actinopteri; Gadiformes; Gadidae. The record is from RNAcentral.
AAACAUAUGCAAAGAAAUGAGUAAAAUAGAAAGUUAAAAAGGCUUUUUAGCAAGUAAAAUUGAAAGUGCAAUGUAUUUAAGAAAGUGAGAAAAUUAAAUUGAAAGUUAUUUAAGAUCAGAUCAACAGACUCUCUGGAACCCAAGUCGGGACUACAACCCGACCUAAAGGACAAUAUUCUAGGACUCUAACCCAGCUUCUAGGACUCUAGCCCAGCAACCUUUCUCUCUGGUAUCAGAUCAUGUAUUUUUCUGGUAAAAAUAGAAAAUAAAGGGAAAGUUAAAAAGGCAUUUUAGUAAAAUAAUGGUACACGUAUCAACAUUGACAAACUAACAAAGAUGAACAAAUCACUUGGAUGACAUGCUAUUACAAUAUUCUAGGACUCUAACCCUUAUACAAAUACAAAAAAUACAAACAAACUCAGGACUCUAACCCUUAUACAAAUACAAACUAAACUCAGGACUCUAACCCUUAUACAAAUACAAAAAAUACAAACAAACUCAGGACUCUAACCCUUAUACAAAUACAAACAAAACUCAGGACUCUAACCCUUAUACAAAUACAAACUCAGGAGCAGAAAGCUAAAGCAAACAUAAAAGUCUUCAAUCUUGUUUUGAAGGUGCUCAGAGUUGGGGCAAGUCUUAAAUCCUCAGGGAGUUUAUUCCAGCUAUUUGUUGCAUAGUAACUAAAUCCUGCUUUCCCAUGUUUCGUGUUUGCUCUGGGGAUCAUUAACAGAUUGGUCUCAGAAGAUCUUAGUGUUCUAGAAGGCUUAUGUAGUGGAAGCAUAUCAGUUAAAUAUUUUGGGCCUAAACCAUGUAGGGAUUUAUAGGUUAGCAACAUGAUUUUAAAAUCAAUUCUCUGACCUACAGGAAGCCAAUGUAACGAUUUAAGAAUUGGUGUAAUAUGUUCAAAUUUUUUGGUCUUUGUUAAAACUCUAGCAGCAGCUUUCUGAACAAGCUGAAGCUUCCUUAGAGUUUGUUUUGGGAGACCUGUAAGGAGACCAUUGCAGUAAUCAAGCUUACUAGUGAUAAAGGCAUGUACAAGUUUUUGUAAGUCUUCGGUGGACAUGAGCCCUCUAAGUCUUGCUACAUUUUUAAGGUGAUAAUAUGCAGAUUUUGUAACUGAUUUGAUGUGACUUUCGAAAUGUAAAUCAGAAGCAGGGGUCAUAGAGUGUCCAGUGAAGCCCAUUGAGACUG